AUGAGAUUUCUUUCUACGGAUAUGAAGGAUAGAAAUAUGCUAUUUGCUGCUAUUCCAUCUAUUUGUGCAUCAAGUCCGAAGAAGAUCUCAAUCUAUAAUGAAGAAAUGAUAGUAGCUUGUUGUUUUAUAGGCUUUCUCAUAUUUAGUCGGAAGAGUUUAGGUAAGACUUUCAAAGAAACUCUCGAUGGGAGAAUCGAGUCUAUUCAGGAAGAAUUGUUGCAAUUCUUCAAUCCUAACGAAGUAAUUCCGGAGGAAUCCACUGAACAACAACGAUUACUUAGGAUCAGCUUGCGAAUUUGCAGCACCGUAGUAGAAUCAUUACCAACGGCACGCUGUGCGCCUAAGUGCGAAAAGACAGUGCAAGCUUUGUUAUGCCGAAACCUAAAUGUAAAGUCAGCAACACUUCUAAAUGCCACUUCUUCCCGCCGCAUCCAUCUUUAG
Molecule: ribosomal RNA, 441 nt
Filed under: Triticum aestivum (bread wheat)
Lineage: Eukaryota; Viridiplantae; Streptophyta; Magnoliopsida; Poales; Poaceae
Description: partial small subunit ribosomal RNA
Source: RNAcentral